RNAcentral lists this ribosomal RNA (253 nucleotides) under uncultured bacterium. Its description in RNAcentral is "partial 16S ribosomal RNA". It matches the Rfam family "Bacterial small subunit ribosomal RNA", at positions 524 to 776 of the family's 1533-position model. The record is from RNAcentral.
CACGUAGGGCGCAAGCGUUGUCCGGAAUUAUUGGGCGUAAAGAGCUCGUAGGCGGUCUGUUGCGUCCGCUGUGAAAACUCGGGGCUUAACCCCGAGCCUGCAGUGGAUACGGGCAGACUAGAGGUAGGUAGGGGAGAAUGGAAUUCCCGGUGUAGCGGUGAAAUGCGCAGAUAUCGGGAGGAACACCAGAGGCGAAGGCGGCGACCUGGACAAGCACUGACACUCAACUACGAAAGCGUGGGGAGCAAACAGG